This is a long non-coding RNA of Mastomys coucha (southern multimammate mouse), 338 nucleotides long. RefSeq lists it as uncharacterized. The record is from RefSeq and is a predicted model, not a curated record. Lineage: Eukaryota; Metazoa; Chordata; Mammalia; Rodentia; Muridae. The transcript has 3 exons.
AGAUGAGGGGGCCGAGAACUUGCUUAUUCACGGAUCUACCUGAGAAGCUGCCUGGAGCUAGUGUUCCUGACUUCCACACCUGAAGAUGCUUGGGAACUUCAUUCAUUGGACUCAAAUUAAUGAAGACAUGAGACAUAAGAAGACGUGGGACUUCAAGAGGGGCGUUGUCCAUCUCUUCUGGCUCUCUACCUCUCUAUCUGUUAAAGUAAUGGAUGUCUGUAAAGAUAUGUGUAGUCCUCACCCAUAAUCAUGGAAAUUUCUCUUUGCAACCGAAGAACACCUUUGCAGAAAACCACAAGAUCAAAAUGCAGAAUUUUAGAGUUUAAUACCUAAAAUUA